This 831-nucleotide ribosomal RNA is filed under the name uncultured bacterium. RNAcentral describes it as "bacterial SSU rRNA". It matches the Rfam family "Bacterial small subunit ribosomal RNA", at positions 80 to 911 of the family's 1533-position model. The record is from RNAcentral.
UUGCUUCUCUUGAGAGCGGCGGACGGGUGAGUAAUGCCUAGGAAUCUGCCUGGUAGUGGGGGAUAACGUCCGGAAACGGACGCUAAUACCGCAUACGUCCUACGGGAGAAAGCAGGGGACCUUCGGGCCUUGCGCUAUCAGAUGAGCCUAGGUCGGAUUAGCUAGUUGGUGGGGUAAUGGCUCACCAAGGCGACGAUCCGUAACUGGUCUGAGAGGAUGAUCAGUCACACUGGAACUGAGACACGGUCCAGACUCCUACGGGAGGCAGCAGUGUGGAAUAUUGGACAAUGGGCGAAAGCCUGAUCCAGCCAUGCCGCGUGUGUGAAGAAGGUCUUCGGAUUGUAAAGCACUUUAAGUUGGGAGGAAGGGCAGUAAAUUAAUACUUUGCUGUUUUGACGUUACCGACAGAAUAAGCACCGGCUAACUCUGUGCCAGCAGCCGCGGUAAUACAGAGGGUGCAAGCGUUAAUCGGAAUUACUGGGCGUAAAGCGCGCGUAGGUGGUUCGUUAAGUUGGAUGUGAAAUCCCCGGGCUCAACCUGGGAACUGCAUUCAAAACUGACGAGCUAGAGUAUGGUAGAGGGUGGUGGAAUUUCCUGUGUAGCGGUGAAAUGCGUAGAUAUAGGAAGGAACACCAGUGGCGAAAGCGACCACCUGGACUGAUACUGACACUGAGGUGCGAAAGCGUGGGGAGCAAACAGAUUAGAUACCCUGGUAGUCCACGCCGUAAACGAUGUCAACUAGCCGUUGGGAGCCUUGAGCUCUUAGUGGCGCAGCUAACGCAUUAAGUUGACCGCCUGGGAGUACGGCCGCAAGUUAAACUCAAAUGAAUU